This 253-nucleotide ribosomal RNA is filed under the name uncultured bacterium. RNAcentral's name for it is "partial 16S ribosomal RNA". It matches the Rfam family "Bacterial small subunit ribosomal RNA", at positions 524 to 776 of the family's 1533-position model. The record is from RNAcentral.
AACGUAGGAGACAAACGUUAUCCGGAUUUACUGGGCGUAAAGGGCGUGUAGGUGGUUGCGUAAGUCUGGCGUGAAAUUUUUCGGCUUAACCGGGAAAGGUCGUCGGAUACUGCGUAGCUAGAGGACGGUAGAGGCGUGUGGAAUUCCGGGUGUAGUGGUGAAAUGCGUAGAGAUCCGGAGGAACACCAGUGGCGAAGGCGACACGCUGGGCCGUACCUGACACUGAUGCGCGACAGCAUGGGGAGCAAACAGG